This 24-nucleotide microRNA is filed under the name Mus musculus (house mouse). Its description in RNAcentral is "mmu-miR-92b-5p". Its record names the gene mmu-miR-92b-5p. RNAcentral also lists the same sequence under 1 other name. Lineage: Eukaryota; Metazoa; Chordata; Mammalia; Rodentia; Muridae. The record is from miRBase by way of RNAcentral.
AGGGACGGGACGUGGUGCAGUGUU